Unclassified non-coding RNA from Fukomys damarensis (Damara mole-rat), 329 nucleotides. Its record names the gene 7SK. It matches the Rfam family "7SK RNA". From Rfam's summary of the family: 7SK was discovered as an abundant small nuclear RNA in the mid-70s but a possible function has only recently been suggested. Two independent studies have found that 7SK RNA binds the CDK9/cyclin T complex (known as elongation factor P-TEFb). NCBI's taxonomy places the organism in Eukaryota, Metazoa, Chordata, Mammalia, Rodentia, Bathyergidae. The record is from Ensembl.
GGCUGUGAGGGUGAUCUGGCUGCGAUAUCUAUCUCCCCAUUGAUCGCCAAGGUUGACUCAGCUGAUCUGGCUGGCCAAGCAGGUGUCUCCUACCUCCCUCACCGCUCCACGUGCAUCCCUCCCGGAGGUGAGUGUUAGGUCGAAGAGAACAACCACCACCAAUAAGGAGGACCUUUUCCUCCGUCAGAGGUAUAGGAGUAGCUGCGCUUCCCCGCUACAAACUCCAAACAAGCUCUGUGAAUGGGAUUUUUUAAAAAAACAAUCUGAAAGUACUUGCUUAAAACCAUGGUGAAAGAUAGCCUAGGCCUAAAAUAUUGUGGGUUUUUUUU